Long non-coding RNA from Hirundo rustica (Barn swallow), 1064 nucleotides. RefSeq lists it as uncharacterized. The transcript has 4 exons. NCBI's taxonomy places the organism in Eukaryota, Metazoa, Chordata, Aves, Passeriformes, Hirundinidae. The record is from RefSeq and is a predicted model, not a curated record.
UCCACAAGCAACACACUGGCAUUUCCUCACCCUACAGAUGCACCUGGGGGUGUUUGGUUUUUUGUUUUGCAGCUCCUCUGGCCUCAGGGCUGUUAAGUGGCCCAGCCCCAAGCAAAAUUAUGAUCCCUUGUUUUGUGUCCAUGUAAGAAACUAAACUGAAUGGCUGCUACAGUGCAUUUAAUGCAUGGGAUGCUGCAUCAGGAGAGAGGGAUCUGCACUGCAGCUGUUCCAGGCAUCUUUUGGGGGAACAUCAGAGAUCUUGAUUGUCUGAAACAGGAAUUCCCAGAGUAGUGGAUAUGAAGAAACUGUGACUUGAGCUGGCCACAAACAGCAACUUGUUCUCUCGGAACUGCUGCCACUCUCACACAUAGGGGGCAGUUUGUCACUUGGCAUGGAAGACCCCACAAGGAAGACACCUGGGAAAGAACUGGCUUGUGGAGUGAAAGACAUAUCCAGCAGAAGAAACAUGAAGUGCAUAUCCAGCAGAUGAAACAAUCCUCUGGCAAUGAGUUGAAAAUGUUUGUCAGGGAACCAGUGGUGGAAGUGCUGCCAAGAGCUUAUUGCUGUCCCUGAAGAGAAGAGAUUCCCAAAUUGCACAGUGACAUCUGGUGAUACCCACAGUCCUCUUUGCUGGUAUCAGGCCUCUGAAUCUCUCCAGAAAAGGGGUAAAUCCAGCCUGUGCUUCCACAUCUACAGAAAGGUGCCAUCCUGCCAGAACAACCUUUGAGAAGAGCUGAUGAAUAGAUCAGGAGAUAAACAGGUUGGCUAGUCUCAGUGGCACAUGAAGCUCUUUGGAGUCAGCAGAAGGAAGAUCUCUCUUCUGAGAGAUGCUUUUAUUCUGGCGAGAUCCAUUAGAACAAGAAAUUUCUUCUUUGUUAAUCAACUUUACCAUCAGACUUCAGGUUUAUUACUGUUUGAUAUGACAUGCUGUCCCAGCUAUUGCCCCAGACUGCUGAUUCAUCUGCAAGAAGGUAAAUUAGGCUUCAGAUGCAGUCCUGGACUUCUGGGGAAACCAUGUGCUUUCCUGUAGAAACAAUAAAACGCAGAAAUCCCUUUUAUUACAA